Long non-coding RNA from Corvus hawaiiensis (hawaiian crow), 12248 nucleotides. RefSeq lists it as uncharacterized. Lineage: Eukaryota; Metazoa; Chordata; Aves; Passeriformes; Corvidae. The record is from RefSeq and is a predicted model, not a curated record. The transcript is spliced from 3 exons.
UCCUCUGGUUUAGGGCCGGGGUCGCGCCUCAGCCCCGCGCUCCUGCUGCGGGCACGGAGCGCCCUCAGAGCGGCCGCGGGGCCGCCUGUGCCCCCCUUCCCUCUGUGAGCGCACCUGGGCUCUCCCUCCCUCGCUCGCUCCCUCCCCGCGGCCGCCGAGCCGCGCUCCCUGCGCCCCACAGAUAAGGCCGGGGCUCGCCCCACCCCGCGGGGCACCCGGGGCUCGCCGUGCUGGAUAAGCGGAGCCGCCACGUUGGAAGAAGUUUGCCCCGUGUCCCCCCCCUCCACACCUCGCCCGCGGGUGUUGUGACUUCGCACAGGACCCCACAAAUCCCAGCACAUGCUGCCGGUAGCCCCGCGGGGAGCUGCGAGCCCGGCCGUGCCCCCCCGGCCCUGUCCUUCUGCCAGUGACACUCGUGUCCUGCUGUUAACCCUGUGGAGAGGGGACAAAAGCUAAACUAGGAUCCUGCGCUGCUUCCCCCCCCCCAUCCCGCUGCCGGCUCCAUGAGCUUCACAUCCUCCUGCUAAGGCUGGAACGAACAAGAACAAGAGCUGCUGAUGGUUGUAAGGCCUCGCUCGGUUCUCCCCACCCCCUCCGCCAGCACCAUCCCCCACUGCAGCUCCCAUGGACUCGUAUCCCUCCCAUUAACGCUGGAAGGGGAGGACAGGAGCUCUGAUGGGUUUUUCUCAGGCUUUACUCUGUUUUCUCCCCCCACACACCGACCAGCACGAGCUCCACAGCCCUGCAGAAGUGCAGAGCUGGCUCUGCUACCAUAUCCAUGAAUGCCCCUUCCCUCUGAGCUCCAAGGAAAAAGGAAAAAAACCACCCUGAUUCCCCUCGUUUUGCUUAUUCAUUAUAAGCGGUUGGCAGUGUGCUGCUAAAAACGUGCGAUCUCUUGUUUCAGAAGCAUCUGUGCUUUAAGAAUAAGGUUUUGUCUUCUUGAAUGUGGCUUUUCGUAAUAAUCUCUUGAAGUGCUCCAUUUUUGUCCUUAAAGUUCUAUUUUAUUACCUCUUCUGGAUCAGCGAAGGUCGGUUUAACCCUUUAGAGAUGAACAUCAGCAGCCACUUUAGGAAAAUGUUGCCCUUCUAUUUGUUAAUUCAUGGUUACAAUAAUAUUUUAUGGAGGAUUUUUUUCCCCAGCCCAGUCCUUCUGCAUGCUGAAGGAAGUGUGUGCUUCAGCACUGAUUAAAGUCAUGUAUGAGUUAAUGAGAAGCUUGCAGAGUAUGUGAAGCAAGAGAAAAUCUUUAACCAGCUCUGCUGUUCCUUCUACAUACCACAAACUUGCACGCUGUAACCAGAAGGUGGAUUGAAUAUGUGUGAAAUGCUGCAGUAGGAGACUCAUAAAUCGCAUCACAGGUGGAUGCUCACUCAAUUAAUAUGUUAUCAUUUCAAAAUACCUUGAAGUUAGGUGGGUUUGUUGAUUUUUCUUUUUUUUUAAGUGUUUUGAGACUUCCCAUUUCCACAUACAUAGAAAUGGAUGAAAGAUGCUAUAAGCUUACAAAGUAUCAUUUUGUGGAUGGAUUUUUAAAUUUUGAACAGUCUGUGUUCCCCUGUUCUCACUGCUUCCCGGGUUAAUGGAUUGGUAACACAGGAGGGACUCUGAGGUGCUGGAGGAACCAGCAGUGGUGUCAGCAUUCCAGUUGUGGGACUUCUAAUUUAAGAAAUGUAUUGUCAUAAGGAGUAAGAUCACGGCUGAAUCCUGCUUGCAUUUAGGUCCAAAUACAAAAUACGCUUUGGAAGGAGUCCCCAGGGAGCACUGAGAGUAAUUAAGUAAAAAUAAAACCUUUCACUUCAGCCCCCCCCCCCGCCCUUCCCCUUGUAACACAGACAAGUCAGUGCAAUUCUGGUUUCAUUCCACCAUUUUCAUUAUGUGUCCUGAUAUUUCUUAAUUUUGUAUUGCAGCUGAAAUACUCGGGUGACUUAUAAUUUCAGUGAUUUGGGGGUAUUUCUAGACCAUACUUUUAAAGAAGUCAUCUCGCUGUGUCCCAGAAGGAGCCAUUGAGCAGCCGUUCUCAUAAACAGCACUGAACUUCUUGCAGCCUUGCCUUUCCAAACACCUUUUUUUCCCCCUGUAAUUUUCAUCCUUAACUGUUGAAUUUCCUUUUCUUUACAUUAAGUAAAUAUUUAUUAGUACCACUUGGAUUUUUUUCAUCUUUUUAGAAGAACAGAGCCUUGUCACUGAGACAAUCCUUUCGUGUUGAGGAGGUGACAUAAAAAAGGAGUGAAGGAGAGUUGUCUUGUGCUGGGAAAUGCCAUUUUUGGAAAACAAUACUAUAGGAAAUGGAAAUGAAAAAUACAUUUUGUGCUGGUGGGAACUUGUAAUGAGGCUAAGAGAGGAUUUGAUGUCUCAGAAAAGCAAUGAUUACAAGGGGAAAAGCGGGACUUUAUCAUCCAUUCGUAGAAGUUCUCCAGCUGAAUAUCCUUCUGGGGAGCUGAAAUUUGGCUCAAGUCUGUUUAUGAACAUCUGUUGAAUGGAAUUUUAAAAAGGCACAGAUUAUAAUCUUAGUUUCUCCUCUCUGUUUAAAAUGAUAAAGCAAAAUCAAUGUAUCUGCAAGUCCAUUUUGGGUUUUGUUUUGUUAAUAACGAGCUGCAUGAAUGUUCAGUAGUCUCUACUGCUGAUUAUUGGGCUCUCUAUGUGUUCCCAUACAUUUUUCUCUAGCAUAUAAAAUACUGCCUCUACCCCUUUCUGUAGCUGUCUAAUUCCACUUGAACACUCGUAGAAAGCAUUCAAGUUUUUGUCGGGGUUUUUUUUGUGACAGGAGGCUCUUGGAUGUUGGCAUCUGUGACAUUUUUCGCACCGGGAGCACAGCGCUGUGUUUGAAGGGAGAUGCUGAGAGCUGUUGGGUAUUCCCAGAACUGCAGCCGUUUGCUUCGAUUCACAUCCUGCCCACCUGUACUCUGCCAGGGCUGUAAAUGCAACCACUUUGUGUCCCCUGGCUCAGGAUAGCCCCACUUCAGCUUCUAUUUCUGCAGCAUUUGUGACCUCCUCUUAUUCAGGGAGGACUUCACUGUAAUUUUCCCUCCUAUUAUUUUGCCUCUUUUCACAGCCUGAUGUUUUUUUGCUGUUGUUUUCUAUUCCAAGCGAGGAUGCUGUGAGUGCUUCAGCUCAAAAUUUAGGUCAUCUCCAAUGGAAGAAGGGAGACCUAAAAAGUAAAAAUAAGAUUUCAAUGUGCCUUUAAAAGUGACAACUCUUUGGGAAAAAAUGUACAAGCUCACCUGUAUUUUGUGGCAGGACAGGAAUGGAGGGAGCCUUUCCCAAUUCCAGAAUGAAAGCUGAGUCUCUCUUUGUGAGUGUGAUUUCUUUUCCAUGUGCUUUCCUGGUCUUUCAUUUUCACACCUGAUUUGAGCUUUAAUCACUCAAAUUAUUCAUAGACUUGCCCUGGAAAAAGAAGAGAGUGACCUCUUCCCAUCUGGAGUAGAUGGAUUCACCACCAACAAUUGUAAAUGGAUGACUUAAUAAUGGGGUUUGCACUCAAAAUUUUUAAUUCUGUGAUUUCAUUGUGUUUCAGGAGUUCUGCAUGUGGUCUUUUCUGAACUGAUAAAUUGGAGUUGUACCACAGAGAUUUAUUUCUUGCAGUUUAUCUCUUAGCAUUGGGCUCCUGUCUACAAAGAGCUGAUGAUCCCCUGAGCUGCUGAAGUGCCAAAGCACCUUGCCCAGGACCAGGCCUGUGAGUUGUUUUUUUUUUUUUGUCUGUAAUUAUAUCCAAUGUCUUCCAUGACAAGGAACCUCAAGACAGUUUAUGAAAUCGACAGCCACAAAAGCACUGCCCAUUGGGGGUUAUGUGAUUACAAUUUAGUUGUCCCUCAGCCUGAGGGUGCCUGAGGGGACAGAGCCAACUGCUCCUCAGUUCCUGUGAGUGGCUGGAAUUAGCCACUGGAAUUGAUAGAUAUCUGUUGCUCUUGCUUUCCUGUUAAAGGUGGCUUAAUUUAAAUUAUGAAGGAACUUUUGAAUCCAUUUUGUUUGGUUUCUGCUCUUCCUAGCAGCUCUCUGCAGUUUUAUAUGUAUUAAAAGUGCUAAGCUUCCUCUGGCCUAGAUGUACAAUAAAUACCUUAGUCAAUGCAGUUAAGUCCAGUUUCCUCUAUUCACUCAGAAGAGAUUUGUUCCUUAUCUGAAUUGUUCCUCCAUUCAGAAGGAGAGAAGCCUCGCGCAGCCAGAGCUCACUUCAUAAAUCACCCAGACAAAUGGAGCUUGGGGCAGAAGAAGAUACAAAAUGGGAAUAGUUGUGAUUUAGGCUCCAUGAGGUUUUUGGAUUUCUGCUAUGGGAAUGUGCUUACCAACUAUUUGAAAUACAAAUGUUUAGAAUAGUCACCAUUUUCCAGUUAUUCCUUCAACUGGACUUGCAGUUAUCAGCUGGGCCCUGCACCUCAAGGGUGCCUCCCUUCACCCUUAAACAUCCUCUGGUAUUUGGUGGCUUCUUUUUAACAGUAUUGGUCUGGAAUUGAUAACUUUUUUUUAUCAGAAGGUUAGAAAGAGCUCCUUGGUCUUCACCCAGGCUCUGCUCUGAUCCACAGAUACGGCACAGUCCACUCACUAAUUUCUUUGGCUCUGUCAUGGCAGAGGUGGCUCCCAGCCAGGAAUCAGUGCCAUCACAGCAGCUCGGAGGACCUGGAGUGCAGGUUCUGGACCAAACGAUGGUAACAUCUCCCAAUCCCAGAGUCACCCUGUUUCUGCUGCUCCCAACUCUUCUGAUGACACCAAGCUUCUCUUUGCUUGGUCUUCUGCCUAACUUAAACAAUUCAUCUCAUUUGUGUUCAAUACAAGGUUAUUUUCUACUAUUAGCUCCUUUAUAAUGUUUUCAUUGCUUACAGUUCUGAAAGUUGGUAUCUUUUCAAUUCCAAGAGUGUUUGAUAAAUACAUUUGUUGGCACCUGUCCUUGUUUCCCUCUGCUCCUCCCAUAUUCAUUCUAAGGACCCUUCACAACAAUCUCACCUCCCUGAGUUAUGAGUGGUCGCUCCCUCUACCAGAUUAGAGCUUCCUGUUGGUGUUGUGUCAUUUCUGAGCAAGGAAAGGCUGAUACCUUUGAGCUCAGUGGUUGCUUCUUCUCCUCAGCUCUCCCAGGGGUCUUGCAGGCGCUUUCAGUUCUGCCUCACAUCUUUGAUUUGGUGAGGUUCCCUGCUAUUUACAUUUCUUCACAUAUAUCCUCUUCAUACCAUCUGCUACCUUAUGUUUUGCUCGUCUCUGAAAUGUAGUGACCAUAUUUCACGCAACGUUGUUCUACAUGAUUUUCUUAAAAUUUAAUUAAAAGGUUCUGAAAGAACAAAGCAAAUUAGAAUCCACCCAUUUUGUGCAGACACUUUAAGUGAAUGGGAAACAACUCAAUAAAGACCUUCAAAUGCCUUGAAUGAAUUUGUGACUGAAAUUCUGUGCACUGUUUAUCCAAAGGGUCUAUUAUUAAAUUAAUUAGGAGAGUUUUAUUUCUGACAAAAGUUAAGGCUGUUAUUAAAGAACAGCAUCUUCUCUAGAAACUCUCUUUGGAAUUCAGCAGUUCUCCUGAGUACUGUUUACUCUGGAGUGAGUGUGUGGCUGUGCCUUGUUAGAUAAAAGCUGCAGCACUAAAACUGUUUUACUGAACUUAGCUCCUGACCUGCCUUCUGAGGCCACAGCUACAAAGGGAUGAUACAUCAAUCUAGUUUGUUUGAUCUAAUUACAGCUGUUUAACCAUCCUGAGCACAAGUGCACUCACCCCACUUUGUUAUGCUGAUUUCAGGUAUUUUCACUCUUAAUCGGGUGCACGGUUCUUGGUUCUUUCUUGUAUUAAUUUACCUCUCAAGAUAUUCUGGGCAGUUAUCCCACAGAGAGGUGUUCUGCUACUCCGCUGUAUGUUAUUUUUCACAAUGUGUUGACAGGGAAUUCUCAGUAAUUUAGGGAUUCUGUGGGUCGACCUGACAAAUGGCUACUCCUUUUCUCCUGACAUCCAUUGGUUUUUUGCCUGUGCAACUUCUUUUCUGAAAGGCUGCAAGGUUGCAUGAAGAAGAAAGUGGUAAAUCCAUGAAAACAUGCCUUAACAUGGAGAAGCCCAUUGCCACCUGUGGGAGAGCGGAUUUCUGAUUACUUCUAACUGAAAACUCUGGGGUUUGUGUCAAGAAUAUUGUCAUGGGAUCUGCUUUUAAUGUAUAUAUAUGAUCUUUUAUGCUUAGCUCAAGAAAUUACCUGGAGUUUCCCCCAUACACAGUCUGUGAAUCAAACAAGGGUUAUGGAGCUUCAAAGAAUAAACAUGGUCUAUCUCCUCUUCUGCUUCCAGUGCCCGUGAACUUUGGAUUGCUGACCUGUCCUCUAACAAAAUGGACUAUUGGUAUCUUAUGCCCUCUAUUCUACCAUGAGCUCUCUCCUUUUUAUUUUCCCUCUCUUUUUUUUUUUUUUUCUUUUCUAAUUGAUUAAGCAAAUCCAGCAUUUCAGUUUGUUCUUGAGGGUUAGAUUUCCUCAGCCUCCCAGCAUUCUUGUUGCUCUCUCCAUGCUCUUCCAGUUGCUUUGCAUCUGGUUUUAUUUUCUUAUGUGGAACCUGAAAGAGGACAGAAUAUUCCAGCUGAGAUCACACUGAGUUCAGCAGGAGAAUUGUCAGGGGUGUCCUACGUAAAGCAGCCUUAUUAAAUAUUUCUGUGAUGUAUUGUCUUUACUGUGCUGACUCAAAUUCAGUUUGUGAUCUGUUACAACCACUGCUUGCCCAGAUCCUCCCCUCCUCAUCCAUGCUCCUGUCUUGGUCCUUGGCUGCGAAAAAACUCCUCUGAAAAUGCCAUGCCUGGAAACAAGGGGAUGACAAAGAUCUGAGGAGGCUUUCCAAGUGCACUGUUCUCGUGAACUCCAAGUGUGUCAGCUUGCUGAUGGAAGAGGAAUUGUGAAAUAAUGUGUGUUCACAAUAUUGGAUGGAAAUGAUAACAUGUUUUGUCUUAUUAUCACUCUGAAAGUCUCAAUGUCCUAGAAGUUCUGAGUUGGAAUAGGAACGGUUGUUUGCAAAUGGGAGAGAACAUAGUUAUAGUGCCUGAGUCUUAGAUUAUCAUUUUCUUACUAAAUGUUUCACUCUCCCAGUAACAAGGCAAGCAGAAUAAUUAGCUAAUGCACCUUUAAAGAAUUAAUAGAGUUGCUAGAGGUGAGAUGAGCCAAAAAUUAAAUCUGGAAGGCAUUUGAAGAAAACAACAACAGAUAAGUUCUGGGGCUCUCAUUUGGUCCAAAACAUUGAUGACAUGAAGAUACAAUUCAUGGCUGUGAGGUGUCCUCUGGUGAGAACACUGAGAAAAAGAAAAAGGUAAAGAAAAAAAGGAGGAAAACACCCAAACUGAAGAUGCUUUUUGGCUCCAUGCUUGUGUGUGUCAUUGUUUAUAGGAAGAGGUGGCAGACCCAAGGAAGCUCGCAGCAGUGGGAUGGAAAAAUCUCCAGUGGGCAGGCGAGUAAGACAGAAGAUCCCCAGAAGGGCAGCCCUGGUUUGCUGCUAUUUUGCUAAAGCAGAUAUGUUUUGUUUGGAGCGGGGAAGAGAUGUGAGAUGAAAGAAAUGGGUGAUACAUGUUCCUGGUGGUUCCUUGUGAUGGAAACAGAACGACUUUAGGACAAACAGACCUAUGAUGUGGUCUUCUGGGGGGUGCAGUCCUCUGGGAUUUUGGAAAGCUGCUCCCUUGGAAAUCUCUCUCUUUGAAGAGUUCCCUGCAGAGCAGAGGAGCCCUCCCUGCUGAGGGGACAGUGACAGUGACAGUGACAGUGUGUGCAGGCUCGGCCACACAAGGAUCAGUGCUGAGUCCUCCAAGCACUGGCUGACACAGGGAAUGUGCUGAGCUGGUGUGUGCUCCAGGCCCACAUUAAUUCACUCUCUGUUCCGUGGUUCUUCACGCUCCUGUGACCCGGAUGAAUUUACCAGGGAGCUGAGCAGGGUGUUCAGUUUUCCUGUCUGCCGUUCUUACACUUUUGCCCACCCAAAUCCAGUUCUUUGCACCAUGAUGCAAGCUCUAAUUAUAAAUCGAGUCAUACAACCUGCCUUCUCAAACUCUUGUCUCAUUCAGAGUUUUCUUUUAUCCUUGUUAUUUGAUGUUUGCUUCCAUAUUUUAUUUAUUGCAUAUAAUUCAAGUGCUGCAGUAAAUACAGAAUUACUAGUUGUAAUGGAUUUUUUGUUACACUUAUCACUACGGUGUCUGAAUACUUUUUAACCACCAUAAAUGUAUCUUCACAAUAUUACAGAGAUGUUCUUCUCAUUUCACAGAUUAAAAGUGGGGAAAAUAAUGACAAAACUGUCAAAGUUGUCCACUGGGUCUGUGUUCCCCAGAGGAAAGAAGGAUUCUAGUUUUAAUAAUGAUAAUAAUAAUAAUAAUUUUCUAAUAAUAAUAAUAUUUAUAAUAAUAAUAAUCCUAUUCUAGCAACCAUUUAAAUUGUACUCAGGCCUUUAGAUAUGUAUUUGUUGCCAGCAUAACCCUCGAGUUCAAAUACUGUCUUCAAGCCACAGUCUGUGUAUACAAACUCACCCUAUCACCCCUCUCUUUGUUGGAAUUUGCUGAAAGGAAGCUUCACUCUUCUCUCCUGGCAGAUUCCUUGCUCUUGUAACCAGCUCAGGGAGCUUUUUCUAUGAUUAUUCCAGUUUUCACAUGUCAUUCUUGAAUAGAAACGGUAUCCAAAAUUCUGUAAGAGAGCCGUUGCCAUAACAUCUGGAUAUGCCUUACCUGGUCUUCAGAUGCCAUUUGUCAUCUUCAUUUCUGUGACUAAAUAACACUUGUGAGUCUUCAUCCGGCCCUGCUAACUGUGGUGAAUUCCCAGUUUACAAGAGUUUUGGCUGUCAGUCCCUGUGUGAACAGCCUUGUGAUUUGCAUUAAUCUUAUUACUGCAUUCCACCAGCCCAUUCCUCAGGAUUCCUGUGCUGUUCCAGAACCUCAUCCAGUUCUUCAUUUAGGAUAUUCCAGUCUUCUGCACUGAUGCCUUUGGAUGUUGUCAGUAACUACCUGUAUUAACACUCCUUUUCCAGUUCCUUGCACUUGUGUCACUUGAAACCCAUCAAUGGCACCCGUUCUGAGACCAAAGCUGCAGGAGCUUUCAAAGCACUUGCUCUCUAGCCCAAAACUUCCCAUUUCAGCACAAUCCAGCACUGGAUUUUUAGUCAUAUUUUACCCACAAACUUCUCUUGCACUGACCUUCGUAUUUUCCAAUUUAACUGGUAUUUUUGCAUGAUGCACCAGACCAAACACUUCACUGAUUUUGGGAUGGGUGAGAUCUACUGUGUCUUCUUUUACUCAGAAAAAUUUGCUGCCUUGUCAAAGAAAGACGUCAGCUUUGUCUGGCAUGAGUGCAACUUUUGUUGCAUUUCAUCUCUUUACUUUCCUCUACUUUUUUUCCCCCUCCUGAGAAAAAAUAAUUUAAGUUUUGCAUCUCACUGAGGUCGGGCUAAUUAGUCUUUCAUUGUCUGGACAUUACUUUCACAGUCUUUGGCUUGAUUUUGGGGUGGGUUUUUCCCUUUCUCCCCAUAAUUGGAUGUGAAAUUUAGAUUAUUUUUGUACCUCUAGAAGUGGUGGAAAUAAAUUUACUCAUUUGCAUCACAGCUCAGCUGUAGUGCUUCAUGUUUUGGUUGGAUUUUGUUUGUUGGUGGCUGUUUUGAUUUGGUAUUUUUUUUUUAUUUUUAAAGAAACUUGCUGCAUUGUGGCUAUUAAACUGGGAAAAGUAAUGAAUUUUGAAGUAUUUGCAAAGUUCUUUAAAUCAUAAUGAUAAUGAGAAGUUUCUUGAGCAAUGACAGCUGAAUCCUGGGCUCCGUUAUCCUGUGGGAUGUUGAUAAGUGCCAGGGGCUCGUUGCAGCCCGUGGCUCAUCACUGCCCUGCAGAAGUUCUGCUCCUCGUGCUGCCUCAGCAUUAUUUACUGCUCUCAGCCCUGUGUUUAAACAGAAAAUGAAGCGUGUUGGGCACUCUGCACACAUGUAUGAGGCAGUCCUGAACAAAAUACACUCUAAAAAUAGACAGGGUAAGUGAAACAAUAGGAAGACAGUGAUUCUAGAGGGUCAGGAUUGUGUGGGGAGGGCUGCAGUGCCCUCAGCAAACCCAGGGCACAGGAAAACCCGAGGUCAGUAACUAUGUUUCCUGAAGCUGGGAAAAGUAAUAUUUUUAAAUGCUUUGUUUCAUAAUACAGUUAAUUGCACGUUUCUCUGACAGCUCUAAUGACUGUGACUCUUUCUGAUCACGUUUCACUCAGGAUCUAAUUCUAAAGAUCGGGAUGCAAGCAACAACCGUUAUAUGUUUGGAUUUGGAGUGGGGGUUUUUGUUGUUUUGCCAGAUACACUCAAUAUUUUUAUAAAUAAUUGAAAAAUAUGUCUUUUUUACGAUUCUUCAGUAUGUCUGGAGCUCCGUUUUACAGAAGCAGCUCUGGCCAAUGCCUUUGUUUUAGUGAACAUGUGUGUGAUAUCCCAGCCUCUACCAGCAGUGCUGUUGCUGAGGUGUGAUCACGGGCCUCUCUCAAGACAGAGAUAACUGAUAGAUAAAAAUGACCUCAUUUCACAGUCCCACAGCUGAACUCUAAAAGUUCCAGCAAAGCUGAUCAGAAUGUGUUUGAAUUUUUGUUUCUGAGUAAAUGUCACCGAGGUCCCUACUUGUGACAUUCAGAAGGUGACUUUUAGGCCAUUUGAGCUCAACUGGGUGGAGGCCUGGAGCAGAAAAUCAGUCCCAUCCCCACACAUGGACCCUGUGUGUGUAGGAAGUCCCAACACUCCCUGGGGGGGCUCAUUACAGAAUUCAGAUUGGGAAAUACACAUCUAUGGGAGACUGAUGAAAGGUAGAUAGGGACAAUUUCUGUUCGACCCUUUCUUGGCCAGUGUUUGCAAGCUGCUCAACACCUUGUUUUUGUGGAAUAUUGAGAUUGUUUUGGAUUAUUCAUUUUUUCACCAGUUAUUUGUGCCUGCCUUUGUACAGCUGGAGUGAAGGGACGUUACUAAGUGUUCUCCCCAUAGCAUGAAUAUUUAAUAGUUUGUGUGUUCCUUCUCUGUGUCGUGUGUGUGCCUAUAUAAUACCAACAAAAUCUCUUAAAGUCAGUUUUUGCAAGAGAUUUUCAAAGCACAUCAUGUAACUGAGUCACAGUGCUGAGUAAACCACGCUAUUGUAGAAUUUCACCUAAAAUCUGAAUUUGCCAAAUGGUGGUAUUUUGCAAAUAAGCACAGAUUCUGCUAACUUCCCCUGGAGAUUUUAUUCCAGUCUCAUCCAAUUUCCCAGUGUGGACAAACUGGUGUGUCUUAGAAAAAAAGAGAAAAUGUUUAGCCUAUUGAAAAGAGGAUUUUCUUUGUUUCUCAGAUGUGCAGAUACUCAUGUUCUGGAGCUCAGAGCUGCUCUGAGUGUGCUGGGCGGAUCCUGCAAAGUGCUGAGUGCAUGGCUAACUUUAAGGGAGUAGAUCCUUAGAAUCACCAGGGCUGCUGAUGUUUAAAAUUACGAAGAGACUUAAGUACUCUGAUGGCCCCCGGCCAGUGGCUUUCACAUCUCCUAGCACUGAGCCCUAAGGAGACGCAGUGAUCAGCUGCAGCUCAAUUUCCUUCUCCCGUUUUAAAUAUAAGGUUUAAAGCCCAAAUUCUGGCAGCUGUUUAAUUAAAGAUACUCGUUUUAACUGUGAGGAAUGUGAUAUGCAGCGGCGCUACGCCUGCUUCCUUUCUUUCUUCCUCUCCUGGCAUCCCAGCUCACUCCUCUACAGCGUUUAGUGCAGGGCUUGCAGUUUUCACUGCUGCUCCGUUCCUGCUUUAUCCUCUUCCAUCUUUUCCAUCUGCUUUAUUCUGUUUGGAAAAUGGCAAUGUAGAAUGUGUUUGGUGUAACCUUAAUCCUGACCAGCAUCUGGGCUCCGUUUGAAAAAAAAAAAAGCAUCUACUGCAAGCAAGGCUCUCCCUCCCUCACGGCCGGAGUGGAAAAGCACGUUUAAAUCCCGAACUCGGCUUUCCCACGUGGUGUCUCGCUGAGCUGCUGUCACAGCCACGCCGCGCUCUCACAGGACACCAGAGCUUCUCCCCUGCCCUGCCAGGAAGGUACAAGGCUCUUGUGUUUUGAUUCCACCUGGACCGCGUGUACAAAUAAUGAGGGGAUUAAAGUUCUGCUCCCCCUUCCUGGGUGCCCUCUAAAGGGAUGGAUGUUUGUCAGCGAUUUGGGGGUUAAUUCAGGCAAGUUUAUUUCACAUUCUGGGUCUGCACACACGCAAAGAGCACGAGUGGUUUGGGGUGAAGGGUUAGCAGCGUGUACAGGGGGACAAAACCAAUUGUGGAUAUUAAUAUGGGAUGUACUGGAUGUGUGUCUAAGCAUUAAAUCGAGGGGGGGGGACUGGGUUUU